AGUCUUAUAGUCAACAAUGACAUUAAAUUGCAAAUUUAAAGGAAAAUCUUAAUUUUAAGGCUU
Molecule: transfer RNA, 63 nt
Filed under: Chaetocnema pelagica
Lineage: Eukaryota; Metazoa; Arthropoda; Insecta; Coleoptera; Chrysomelidae
Description: tRNA-Cys
Source: RNAcentral